UUGAUGAUGAAGGAAUCGUGAAACAAAACUUUGAGCUAACGAACAGAAACUUAAUAAUAAGGCUAUUAGGUGGAUAAGGUGCCAGCUGAUAUCGAAGUCCAAAAGUGUAGACGUAUAACCGAGGUAGUAAAUCAAGUAGUUUAAAGUGAAAGAAAA
This 156-nucleotide non-coding RNA is filed under the name fish gut metagenome. The record is from RNAcentral.